GAUGAACGCUAGCGGCAGGCUUAACACAUGCAAGUCGAGGGGUAACAGGGACUGCUUGCAAUCCGCUGACGACCGGCGCACGGGUGAGUAACGCGUAUGCAACCUACCUUUUACUGGGGGAUAGUCAAGAGAAAUUUUGAAUAAUACCCCAUACGAUCUGAUUCACUCCUGUGAAACAGAAGAAAAUUCCGAUGGUAAAAGAUGGGCAUGCGUCCUAUUAGUUUGUUGGUGAGGUAACGGCUCACCAAGACUACGAUAGGUAGGGGUCCUGAGAGGGAGAUCCCCCACACUGGUACUGAGACACGGACCAG
RNAcentral lists this ribosomal RNA (311 nucleotides) under uncultured bacterium. RNAcentral describes it as "bacterial SSU rRNA". It matches the Rfam family "Bacterial small subunit ribosomal RNA", at positions 28 to 334 of the family's 1533-position model. The record is from RNAcentral.